Molecule: ribosomal RNA, 492 nt
Filed under: uncultured bacterium
Lineage: Bacteria
Description: partial 16S ribosomal RNA
Rfam family: Bacterial small subunit ribosomal RNA
Source: RNAcentral
GAUGAACGCUAGCUACAGGCUUAACACAUGCAAGUCGAGGGGAAACGGCAUUAAGUGCUUGCACUUUUUGGACGUCGACCGGCGCACGGGUGAGUAACGCGUAUCCAACCUUCCCAUGACUAAGGGAUAACCUGCCGAAAGGCAGACUAAUACCUUAUGGUCUUCACUGACGGCAUCAGAUGUGAAGUAAAGAUUUAUCGGUUAUGGAUGGGGAUGCGUCUGAUUAGCUUGUUGGCGGGGUAACGGCCCACCAAGGCAACGAUCAGUAGGGGUUCUGAGAGGAAGGUCCCCCACAUUGGAACGGAGACACGGUCCAAACUCCUACGGGAGGCAGCAGUGAGGAAUAUUGGUCAAUGGGCGAGAGCCUGAACCAGCCAAGUAGCGUGCAGGAGGACGGCCCUAUGGGUUGUAAACUGCUUUUGUAUGGGGAUAAAGUCAAUCACGUGUGAUUGUUUGCAGGUACCAUACGAAUAAGGACCGGCUAAUUCCGUG